UCUGCAACUCGACUACAUGAAGCUGGAAUCGCUAGUAAUCGCGGAUCAGAAUGCCGCGGUGAAUACGUUCCCGGGUCUUGUACACACCGCCCGUCACACCAUGGGAGUCAGUAACGCCCGAAGCCGGUGACCCAACCUAAUCAGGAGGGAGCCGUCGAAGGCGGGAUGGAUGACUGGGGUGAAGUCGUAACAAGGUAGC
RNAcentral lists this ribosomal RNA (199 nucleotides) under uncultured bacterium. RNAcentral's name for it is "partial 16S ribosomal RNA". It matches the Rfam family "Bacterial small subunit ribosomal RNA", at positions 1304 to 1500 of the family's 1533-position model. The record is from RNAcentral.